UUUUUAUGGAGAGUUUGAUCCUGGCUCAGGAUGAACGCUGGCGGCGUGCCUAAUACAUGCAAGUCGAGCGAACAGACGAGGAGCUUGCUCCUCUG
RNAcentral lists this ribosomal RNA (95 nucleotides) under Staphylococcus epidermidis. RNAcentral's name for it is "partial 16S ribosomal RNA". It matches the Rfam family "Bacterial small subunit ribosomal RNA", at positions 1 to 90 of the family's 1533-position model. The record is from RNAcentral. Lineage: Bacteria; Bacillati; Bacillota; Bacilli; Caryophanales; Staphylococcaceae.